GGGCCGGUAGAUCAGAGGAAGAUCGCUGCCUUCGCAAGGCAGAGGUCGCGGGUUCAAAUCCCGCCCGGUCCA
This 72-nucleotide transfer RNA is filed under the name Thermoplasmatales archaeon. RNAcentral's name for it is "tRNA-Ala". It matches the Rfam family "tRNA". Rfam says of the family: Transfer RNA (tRNA) molecules are approximately 80 nucleotides in length. Their secondary structure includes four short double-helical elements and three loops (D, anti-codon, and T loops). RNAcentral also lists the same sequence under 1 other name. The record is from RNAcentral. Lineage: Archaea; Methanobacteriati; Thermoplasmatota; Thermoplasmata; Thermoplasmatales.